Molecule: long non-coding RNA, 951 nt
Organism: Limulus polyphemus (Atlantic horseshoe crab)
Lineage: Eukaryota; Metazoa; Arthropoda; Merostomata; Xiphosura; Limulidae
Exons: 3
Source: RefSeq, a predicted model, not a curated record
UUAUGAUUACACAUUUUUUGUAUCCGUUAUAACAUAAAUGUUAAAACAAUUAAGCGAAAGAGAAUCAACUUGUUAAAUUAAACUGAAGAAAAUCGAUAAAUUACAAAAGAGCUAUACAUAUUGGUAAAUGGUUAGCCGGGCUUAGGCUAGUGAUUGACAUCCUGGGCUGCGGUUCGAUGAAGCAAGAUAAUGCCGCUGAAUACGCUCUGCACUUCCAGAAGUAGAUUUCUUGAUCAAUCAGCGCAACUUGACACAAUGAUGCAGGAUGACAUGAGGAAAGUUAUGAGAAGUUCUUGAUAGAACUCUUAGAAACGGUGCACAAUUUGUGAUCAACUGCACACUAGGAAAAACCUUAGUUGGAAGUGUUGAGAUUUCAUGCAUGGUUGGAUGUAAAAAUUAAUGUCAUGUAUGUGAAGGCCAGAGUCACCUCAGGAAACGAAUUCCACGCCUUCCGUGUCGACUUCUUUCUAAAAGAUAACUAACGUGGUAUCACAGCCUGUGAGACUACAGAAGAAGGGUAGGGCCAGGGGUUAUAUUCUCAGGGCAUGGAAGACGGCAUUGACGUGAAAAUAAGGUAAAGUUCUUGCUUGUACCAAAGAUCAUUCAAAUGUCUGUAACUUGUCGUAGAACUUGUCAAUAAGGAUCACAGUUAAGUCUGUUUUGAAUAACUUGUAUAAUAGUGUUACAAUUGUUGCACUAUGCUGUUCGUUUUUACUUUUAUUUCUUUAAGUUUACUGACUUCAUUCCUUUAACCUGGACGUCAGUAUCCACAAUGCAUACCAAGCAGAUCCUAGAUCCCUUGUUCAAGAUAUUCUUCAGGAUAAUCAGUAGUUUUGUGUCUGCCUAUAUUCAGUUAACCGAUUCCCUAUGCAGUUUUUUCUCAGUUCUUAUUACUAGUAAUGGCUAAAAUACUGUUAAGACAGCGGGGUCACGUGACGCUAGUAACACGUC